RNAcentral lists this non-coding RNA (54 nucleotides) under Clonorchis sinensis. Lineage: Eukaryota; Metazoa; Platyhelminthes; Trematoda; Opisthorchiida; Opisthorchiidae. The record is from RNAcentral.
ACCCACCUGACGAGUCCCAAACAGGACGAAACUGGUAGUAGGCUGUUCGCGGAU